GAAACACACACACAUUGUGGGAUUCGUAAACACAUAGCACGCGAAACACAAACACAUUCACCAAAUGUGUGUGUGAAUUGUUUUACGCGCAUUUGUAACGUGCUUCCAAUUACAAAUUCCCACUUACGAAUGUGUGGAUCGUUUUGAUACCCGUCAUGCGCAACUGAGAAGAACACAUGCAUUUUUUUAACUGGAGCCCGUCUUCAGCCAAUCAGACGUCUUCUUCUUAAACAGCCAAUCACAAGGGCUGGGCUGUUUCGUUACGUCACUGCUGUGCGCCUUCAAGUCCGGCUGGAGAUUCCUUUUAGACUACGACGCAGUUCAUGCGGUUGUCGUGCAGGUGAGUAAAUUUCUAAAGUAUUUUCUUUUUAUAGUGCCUUUUGACCACUAACCUAUGUAAGCAAUUACAUAUACACGAAAUACUUAAUUGGAAUAUUGUUGAUAUUGCAAGACAAAAGCGUAACGAAGUUAACGUCUCAUGAUAAGGAGUAAACACGUGCUUCCUUGCUUCUAUUGUUGUCGUUGGAAGGGAGUAAUAUUUCUAAAGUAUAUUCAUUGUAUAGUGCGUUUUGUCCGCUAACCUCUGUAAGCAAAUACAUAUACACGAAAGACUGAAUUGGAAUAUUGAUGAUAUUGCAAGACAAAAGUGUAAUGAAGUUAACGUCGAAUGAUAAGCAGUAAACAUGUUGGUCGCCAAGGUUUUAAUGGCGAUUCGGUUAUUGUUCAAGAGAGAUUUUUUUACAUUAUAGCCGGUUAACAGCGUACGGAAGUUAGCAUUGUAUGAUAUAAGCAUUAAACAUUUGGGUCACCUGGGUUUUAAUGGAGUUUCGUGCUUGAAUUCAUACAGAAAUUAACCAUAUCUACAAAUGGCUAGUGACCCAAUUAAGCCAUUAUAUUUUGAGAAAGCUAAGUCCUAUAUAUAUUAAAAAAAUUUCAAAAAAGCUUAACUGCUAAUCAUUGUUUUCGGGAGUGUAUGUAUAAAGUAUUUGGAAGUCAUUUUUCAAAUGUGUCUUUCUGUGCAUGUGCUUUACAGUUGGUGUACAACAUGGAGAAGAGUUUCCAGGAGAUUUUCAAUUUUAUGUCUAGGGGUGAAUUCCCUAAUUUAUAGUGAAUCUCAGAAAUGUGCUUUAAGAAGAUAUAUGCAGAAGCUCAAACUGAAGGUCCCGAACAGAAGCACGAUCACUGUUUAAUGAAGUACACUCGGCUUCAAUUGGUGCACACACAGGCACUGUUAAAACCAGAUCCUCAAUGUACUCCAGAAAUUAUUGGGAUGGCAUGACAGUGGACAUUGACUGAUGGGUCUCUGAAUGCGACGGAUGUCAGAGGACUGGUAACUCUUUGGCUGUGUGUGACACAGCCAUUACAAAGCAUUAAGGUGUCUGCUGUUUGGGAGUUGGUUGGGAUAGACCUGACUGGGCCUCUCCCAAAAACCAAGGAUGGCUUUCAGUACAUUCUUACUGCCACCGAUUAUUUUUCCAAACACAGAUGCCCCCAAAGAAUCCUGUCCGACCAAGGAAGAGAAUUUGUCAAUUAGCUCAACGAUAACCUUUGUGCCCUCCUGUGCAUUGAAAGGAGUGUUACAGCUGCAUAUCAUCCUAAAACGAAUGGGCUGGAUGAGAG
Molecule: long non-coding RNA, 1620 nt
Organism: Corythoichthys intestinalis (scribbled pipefish)
Lineage: Eukaryota; Metazoa; Chordata; Actinopteri; Syngnathiformes; Syngnathidae
Exons: 6
Source: RefSeq, a predicted model, not a curated record